Molecule: small RNA, 125 nt
Filed under: Marmota monax (woodchuck)
Lineage: Eukaryota; Metazoa; Chordata; Mammalia; Rodentia; Sciuridae
Source: RNAcentral
UCUGGGUACAGUGGCGCAUGUCUGUAACCCCAGUGGCUCAGGAGGCUGAGGCAGGAGGAUCGCUAGUUCAGAGCUAGCCUCAAAAAUGGAGAGGUGCUAAGCAACCCAGUGAGACCCUGUCUCUA